AUGAACGCUAGCUACAGGCUUAACACAUGCAAGUCGAGGGGCAGCAUGGUCUUAGCUUGCUAAGGCCGAUGGCGACCGGCGCACGGGUGAGUAACACGUAUCCAACCUGCCGUCUACUCUUGGACAGCCUUCUGAAAGGAAGAUUAAUACAAGAUGGCAUCAUGAGUCCGCAUGUUCACAUGAUUAAAGGUAUUCCGGUAGACGAUGGGGAUGCGUUCCAUUAGAUAGUAGGCGGGGUAACGGCCCACCUAGUCUUCGAUGGAUAGGGGUUCUGAGAGGAAGGUCCCCCACAUUGGAACUGAGACACGGUCCAAACUCCUACGGGAGGCAGCAGUGAGGAAUAUUGGUCAAUGGGCGAGAGCCUGAACCAGCCAAGUAGCGUGAAGGAUGACUGCCCUAUGGGUUGUAAACUUCUUUUAUAAAGGAAUAAAGUCGGGUAUGGAUACCCGUUUGCAUGUACUUUAUGAAUAAGGAUCGGCUAACUCCGUGCCAGCAGCCGCGGUAAUACGGAGGAUCCGAGCGUUAUCCGGAUUUAUUGGGUUUAAAGGGAGCGUAGAUGGAUGUUUAAGUCAGUUGUGAAAGUUUGCGGCUCAACCGUAAAAUCGCAGUUGAUACUGGAUAUCUUGAGUGCAGUUGAGGCAGGCGGAAUUCGUGGUGUAGCGGUGAAAUGCUUAGAUAUCACGAAGAACUCCGAUUGCGAAGGCAGCCUGCUAAGCUGCAACUGACAUUGAGGCUCGAAAGUGUGGGUAUCAAACAGGAUUAGAUACCCUGGUAGUCCACACGGUAAACGAUGAAUACUCGCUGUUUGCGAUAUACUGCAAGCGGCCAAGCGAAAGCGUUAAGUAUUCCACCUGGGGAGUACGCCGGCAACGGUGAAACUCAAAGGAAUUGACGGGGGCCCGCACAAGCGGAGGAACAUGUGGUUUAAUUCGAUGAUACGCGAGGAACCUUACCCGGGCUUAAAUUGCAGAUGAAUUACGGUGAAAGCCGUAAGCCGCAAGGCAUCUGUGAAGGUGCUGCAUGGUUGUCGUCAGCUCGUGCCGUGAGGUGUCGGCUUAAGUGCCAUAACGAGCGCAACCCUUGUUGUCAGUUACUAACAGGUUCCGCUGAGGACUCUGACAAGACUGCCAUCGUAAGAUGUGAGGAAGGUGGGGAUGACGUCAAAUCAGCACGGCCCUUACGUCCGGGGCUACACACGUGUUACAGUGGGGGGUACAGAGGGCCGCUACCACGCGAGUGGAUGCCAAUCCCCAAAACCUCUCUCAGUUCGGACUGGAGUCUGCAACCCGACUCCACGAAGCUGGAUUCGCUAGUAAUCGCGCAUCAGCCACGGCGCGGUGAAUACGUUCCCGGGCCUUGUACACACCGCCCGUCAAGCCAUGGGAGCCGGGGGUACCUGAAGUGCGUAACCGCGAGGAGCGCCCUAGGGUAAAACUGGUGACUGGG
RNAcentral lists this ribosomal RNA (1446 nucleotides) under uncultured organism. Its description in RNAcentral is "SSU rRNA". It matches the Rfam family "Bacterial small subunit ribosomal RNA". The record is from RNAcentral.